Molecule: ribosomal RNA, 450 nt
Filed under: uncultured Glomeromycotina
Lineage: Eukaryota; Fungi; Glomeromycota
Description: SSU rRNA
Rfam family: Eukaryotic small subunit ribosomal RNA
Source: RNAcentral
AGCAGCCGCGGUAAUUCCAGCUCCAAUAGCGUAUAUUAAAGUUGUUGCAGUUAAAAAGCUCGUAGUUGAAUUUCGGGGUUAGUAGGUUGGUCAUGCCUCUGGUAUGUACUGGUCUCACUGAUUCCUCCUUCCUGAUGAACCUUAAUGCCAUUUAUUUGGUGUUUUGGGGAAUUUGGACUGUUACUUUGAAAAAGUUAGAGUGUUUAAAGCAAGCUAACGCUUGAAUACAUUAGCAUGGAAUAAUGAAAUAGGACGUUCGAUCCUAUUUUGUUGGUUUCUAGGAUUGACGUAAUGAUUAAUAGGGAUAGUUGGGGGCAUUAGUAUUCAAUUGUCAGAGGUGAAAUUCUUGGAUUUAUUGAAGACUAACUACUGCGAAAGCAUUUGCCAAGGAUGUUUUCAUUAAUCAAGAACGAAAGUUAGGGGAUCGAAGACGAUCAGAUACCGUCGUAG